GACGAACGCUGGCGGCGUGCCUAAUACAUGCAAGUUGAGCGCUGAAGGUUGGUACUUGUACCAACUGGAUGAGCAGCGAACGGGUGAGUAACGCGUGGGGAAUCUGCCUUUGAGCGGGGGACAGCAUUUGGAAACGAAUGCUAAUACCGCAUAAAAACUUUAAACACAAGUUUUAAGUUUGAAAGAUGCAAUUGCAUCACUCAAAGAUGAUCCCGCGUUGUAUUAGCUAGUUGGUGAGGUAAAGGCUCACCAAGGCGAUGAUACAUAGCCGACCUGAGAGGGUGAUCGGCCACAUUGGGACUGAGACACGGCCCAAACUCCUACGGGAGGCAGCGGUAGGGAAUCUUCGGCAAUGGACGAAAGUCUGACCGAGCAACGCCGCGUGAGUGAAGAAGGUUUUCGGAUCGUAAAACUCUGUUGGUAGAGAAGAACGUUGGUGAGAGUGGAAAGCUCAUCAAGUGACGGUAACUACCCAGAAAGGGACGGCUAACUACGUG
RNAcentral lists this ribosomal RNA (497 nucleotides) under uncultured bacterium. RNAcentral's name for it is "partial 16S ribosomal RNA". It matches the Rfam family "Bacterial small subunit ribosomal RNA", at positions 28 to 507 of the family's 1533-position model. The record is from RNAcentral.